CCUACGGGAGGCAGCAGUGGGGAAUAUUGCACAAUGGGGGAAACCCUGAUGCAGCAACGCCGCGUGAGUGAUGAAGGAUUUCGGUAUGUAAAGCUCUGUCAGCAGGGAAGAGAAUGACGGUACGUGACUAAGAAGCCCCGGCUAAAUACUUGCCAGCAGCCGCGGGAAUACUUAGGGGGCGAGCGUUAUCCGGAUUUACUGGGUGUAAAGGGAGCGGAGACGGUUCUGCAAGGCUGAAGUGAAAGCCCGUGGCUUAACCGCGGAACGGCUUUGGAAACUGUGGAACGGGAGUGCUGGAGAGGCAAGUGGAAUGCCUAGUGUAGCGGUGAAAUGCGUAGAUAUUAGGAGGAACACCAGUGGCGAAGGCGGCUUGCUGGACAGUAACUGACGUUGAGGCGCGAAAGCGUGGGGAGCAAACAGGAUUAGAUACCCGUGUAGUC
This 440-nucleotide ribosomal RNA is filed under the name uncultured bacterium. Its description in RNAcentral is "partial 16S ribosomal RNA". It matches the Rfam family "Bacterial small subunit ribosomal RNA", at positions 338 to 795 of the family's 1533-position model. The record is from RNAcentral.